Molecule: ribosomal RNA, 580 nt
Filed under: uncultured Basidiomycota
Lineage: Eukaryota; Fungi; Basidiomycota
Description: LSU rRNA
Rfam family: Eukaryotic large subunit ribosomal RNA
Source: RNAcentral
CCUCAAUCAGGUAGACUACCCGCUGACUUAAGCAUAUCAAUAAGCGGAGGAAAAGAAACUAACAAGGAUUCCCCUAGUAACUGCGAGUGAAGCGGGAAAAGCUCAAAUUUAAAAUCUGGCAGCUUUCAGUUGUCCGAGUUGUAAUCUAGAGAAGUGUUAUCCGUGUUAGACCAUGUACAAGUCUCCUGGAAUGGAGCAUCAUAGAGGGUGAGAAUCCCGUCUUUGACAUGGACUACCAAUGCUUUGUGAUGCGCUCUCAAAGAGUCGAGUUGUUUGGGAMUGCAGCUCAAAAUGGGUGGUAAAUUCCAUCUAAAGCUAAAUAUUGGCGAGAGACCAAUAGCGAACCAAGUACCGUGAGGGAAAGAUGAAAAGAACUUUGGAAAGGGAGUUAAACAGUMCGUGAAAUUGCUGAAAGGGAAACGCUUGAAGUCAGUCACAUUGGCUAGAAAUCAACCUUGCUUUUGCUGGGCGUACUUUCUAGUGAGUGGGUCAGCAUCAAUUUUGACCAUUGGAUAAAGUUCAGAGGAAUGUGCAUCUUGGAUGUGUUAUAGCCCUUGUUGCAUACAAUGGUUGGGAUUGA